AUUGAACGCUGGCGGCAGGCCUAACACAUGCAAGUCGAGCGGAUGAAGGGAGCUUGCUCCUGGAUUCAGCGGCGGACGGGUGAGUAAUGCCUAGGAAUCUGCCUGGUAGAUGGGGAUAACGUCCGGAAACGGGCGCUAAUACCGCAUACGUCCUGAGGGAGAAAGGGGGGGAUCUUCGGACCUCACGCUAUCAGAUGAGACUAGGUCGGAUUAGCUAGUUGGUGGGGUAAAGGCCUACCAAGGCGACGAUCCGUAACUGGUCUGAGAGGAUGAUCAGUCACACUGGAACUGAGACACGGUCCAGACUCCUACGGGAGGCAGCAGUGGGGAAUAUUGGACAAUGGGCGAAAGCCUGAUCCAGCCAUGCCGCGUGUGUGAAGAAGGUCUUCGGAUUGUAAAGCACUUUAAGUUGGGAGGAAGGGCAGUAAGUUAAUACCUUGCUGUUUUGACGUUACCAACAGAAUAAGCACCGGCUAACUUCGUG
This 484-nucleotide ribosomal RNA is filed under the name uncultured bacterium. Its description in RNAcentral is "partial 16S ribosomal RNA". It matches the Rfam family "Bacterial small subunit ribosomal RNA", at positions 30 to 507 of the family's 1533-position model. The record is from RNAcentral.